UGGCGGCGUGCCUCAGACAUGCAAGUCGAACGCGAAAGUUCCCUUCGGGGGGCGAGUAGAGUGGCGCACGGGUGAGUAACACGUAGGUAAUCUACCUUUGGGUGGGGAAUAACAGCCGGAAACGGCUGCUAAUACCGCAUAAUGCAGCGGCUCGACAUCGAGACAGUUGUUAAAGCGGGGGAUCGCAAGACCUCGCGCCUAAAGAGGAGCCUGCGGCGGAUUAGCUUGUUGGUGAGGUAAUGGCUCACCAAGGCAUCGAUCCGUAGCCGGCCUGAGAGGGCGGUCGGCCACACUGACACUGACAUACGGGUCAGACUCCUACGGGAGGCAGCAGUCGGGAAUUUUGGGCAAUGGGCGCAAGCCUGACCCAGCAACGCCGCGUGAAGGAUGAAAUCCCUCGGGAUGUAAACUUCGCAAGAACAGGAAGAAUAAGUGGGGGACAAUACCCCCCAUGAUGACGGUACUGUUUGUAAGCUCCGGCUAACUCCGUGCCAGCAGCCGCGGUAAUACGGGGGGAGCAAGCGUUGUUCGGAUUUACUGGGCGUAAAGGGCGCGUAGGCGGUCGUGACAAGUCACUUGUGAAAUCUCCGGGCUUAACUCGGAAAGGUCAAGUGAUACUGUCGGACUAGAGUGCAGAAGGGGCAACUGGAAUUCUCGGUGUAGCGGUGAAAUGCGUAGAUAUCGAGAGGAACACCUGCGGCGAAGGCGGGUUGC
RNAcentral lists this ribosomal RNA (714 nucleotides) under uncultured soil bacterium. Its description in RNAcentral is "bacterial SSU rRNA". It matches the Rfam family "Bacterial small subunit ribosomal RNA", at positions 37 to 729 of the family's 1533-position model. The record is from RNAcentral.